AUGAGAAGGUGGAUUCUUUACCAGCUGAGCUACCAAGGAAGCCCAAUCUUUCCUAUUCCCUACCAAAUGAAAGGAUAUUUGGCAUCUUCUGGAAGAGGAAUCAAGGGCAUGUCAAACAUGGGCCAACAAACAUUGUUGGUGCAAGUUCCUGUGCCCAACACAUGGUUUUCAUUGGUUCAACAUAAGUGGCUGCUCCAGACUUUGAACAUCUUCAGUGAAACCUUGUGAGAAGGUUUAACCUUUCUCUGGUCAAGUAUCAAAACUCCAAGUGAAUUGGAACACUUAGAACAUAACUAUUCUGACAGGAGGCACUAUUUUCAAGGUAUGAAAAUGAGUUUUGCAUGUAGUUUUGCAUUAUUGUUCCAGGACAUAUUAGAUUCAUAACACUGGAC
RNAcentral lists this long non-coding RNA (392 nucleotides) under Bos indicus x Bos taurus (hybrid cattle). RNAcentral describes it as "lncRNA (ENSBIXG00000019124.1)". Lineage: Eukaryota; Metazoa; Chordata; Mammalia; Artiodactyla; Bovidae. The record is from RNAcentral.